UACGUAAGCUCCGAGCGUUGUCCGGAAUCAUUGGGCGUAAAGGGUACGUAGGCGGAUAAGCAAGUUAGAAGUGAAAUCCUAGAGCUCAACUCGAGUAAGCUUUUAAAACUGGUCAUCUUGAGGUAUGGAAGGGAAAGUGGAAUUCCUAGUGUAGCGGUGAAAUGCGUAGAGAUGUGGAGGAAUACCGGUGGCGAAGGCGGCUCCCUGGAC
Molecule: ribosomal RNA, 210 nt
Filed under: uncultured bacterium
Lineage: Bacteria
Description: partial 16S ribosomal RNA
Rfam family: Bacterial small subunit ribosomal RNA
Source: RNAcentral